GAAAUGACGAUGAACGGAACAGUAGUUACAGUCUGAGAUAGUUUCAGAGAACUGGAUUUGGUGUGAACCAGUACUAUCUGCUGUCAUGAAUAUCCUCCGUGAGUUGCACACCGAAGAAUGUAGUAGGCUGUGCCGGGCCUCGAUUGAGGAAACGCCACCCGUUAUUGUGGCGAGGUAUCGAGUGUAAACUCCGUACCGUUGAGAGACUAUGGGCAACUAUAGUAAUUUGGGUGGUAGCGCGGAUUAAUCUCCGUCCCUUGU
RNAcentral lists this non-coding RNA (261 nucleotides) under Anaerosporomusa subterranea. RNAcentral describes it as "Anaerosporomusa subterraneum T-box sequence". It matches the Rfam family "T-box leader". From Rfam's summary of the family: Uncharged tRNA acts as the effector for transcription antitermination of genes in the T-box leader family. The record is from RNAcentral. Lineage: Bacteria; Bacillati; Bacillota; Negativicutes; Acetonemataceae.